CAAAAAGCAGGGCUCUGUGGUUACAUGAACAAAGCUCACGUAAAUGUCAGGAAAAUCGAAUUGGUCAUCGUGAUUGGGUGAACCUACGUUUCUUCUAUUAGCUAAUGGUUCAGUACAUGAUGGUACAUUA
This is a non-coding RNA of Brassica napus (rape), 130 nucleotides long. NCBI's taxonomy places the organism in Eukaryota, Viridiplantae, Streptophyta, Magnoliopsida, Brassicales, Brassicaceae. The record is from Rfam.